This 45-nucleotide non-coding RNA is filed under the name Schistosoma curassoni. The record is from RNAcentral. Lineage: Eukaryota; Metazoa; Platyhelminthes; Trematoda; Strigeidida; Schistosomatidae.
AUUCAGUUGACGAGUCCCAAAUGGGACGAAACGCAUGUCCUGGAU